This is a small nuclear RNA of Zalophus californianus (California sea lion), 103 nucleotides long. NCBI's taxonomy places the organism in Eukaryota, Metazoa, Chordata, Mammalia, Carnivora, Otariidae. The record is from Ensembl.
GUGCUCACUUUGGCAGCACCUAUACUAAAAUUGGGAUGAUACAUAGAAGAUUAGCAUGGCCCUUGUGCAAGGAUGACACACAGAUUUCUAAUGCAAUAGUUAA